AGUGGGGAAUCUUGCGCAAUGGGCGAAAGCCUGACGCAGCCAUGCCGCGUGUAUGAUGAAGGUCUUAGGAUUGUAAAAUACUUUCACCGGUGAAGAUAAUGACUGUAGCCGGAGAAGAAGCCCCGGCUAACUUCGUGCCAGCAGCCGCGGUAAUACGAAGGGGGCUAGCGUUGCUCGGAAUUACUGGGCGUAAAGGGAGCGUAGGCGGACAUUUAAGUCAGAGGUGAAAUCCCGGAGCUCAACUCCGGAACUGCCUUUGAUACUGGGUGUCUUGAGUGUGAGAGAGGUAUGUGGAACUCCGAGUGUAGAGGUGAAAUUCGUAGAUAUUCGGAAGAACACCAGUGGCGAAGGCGACAUACUGGCUCAUUACUGACGCUGAGGCUCGAAAGCGUGGGGAGCAAA
RNAcentral lists this ribosomal RNA (402 nucleotides) under Brevundimonas alba. Its description in RNAcentral is "bacterial SSU rRNA". It matches the Rfam family "Bacterial small subunit ribosomal RNA", at positions 353 to 772 of the family's 1533-position model. The record is from RNAcentral. Lineage: Bacteria; Pseudomonadati; Pseudomonadota; Alphaproteobacteria; Caulobacterales; Caulobacteraceae.